This 206-nucleotide long non-coding RNA is filed under the name Mytilus galloprovincialis (Mediterranean mussel). The record is from RNAcentral. Lineage: Eukaryota; Metazoa; Mollusca; Bivalvia; Mytilida; Mytilidae.
GUAACAAUUUAUUUGCGAUAAUGUAAGAGGCAUUUUGAGUUUUCUUACAAAGUAUGUCUAUCCUGUUACCAUUUUUGUCCCUCCUGUUACCACUGUCUUUGUAACAGGAAGGACAGUAACAGGAUGGAAAAAAUAGUACAUAACUUAAAUUGGUUUUAAAAUAGUCGCUCCCUAAUAAUUGACGUAGUGUUUUUAUACUUCCGGCC